Molecule: ribosomal RNA, 460 nt
Filed under: Prosorhochmus nelsoni
Lineage: Eukaryota; Metazoa; Nemertea; Enopla; Monostilifera; Prosorhochmidae
Also listed under: 1 other name
Description: partial 16S ribosomal RNA
Rfam family: Bacterial large subunit ribosomal RNA
Source: RNAcentral
AGUUUCUUGUGUUUUUAUAAGAAAUGUUUUCUGCUCGGUGAUUUAUAAACAGCUGCGGUAUUUUGACCGUGCAAAGGUAGCAUAAUCAUUUGCUUCAUAAUUGGGGGCUUGUAUGAAAGGGUGUACAAAGUUUUUUCUUUAUUUUGAGAAUAAUAAUAAUUUUCUUUUUUAGUGAAGAAGCUAAAAUUUUAAAGUGGGACAAGAAGACCCUUUUGAGCUUUAUUAUUUUUUUUUUCGUUAUAAGAAAAUUAAUUUGGUUGGGGCGACCGAGGAAGAGGGAUCUUCCUUUUUUAUUUUGAUCCAAAGAUUUUGGUUGAUAAAUUAAGUUACCAUAGGGAUAACAGCGUAAUUUUCUUUAAGAGUUCUUAUUAAAAAGAAAGAUUGCGACCUCGAUGUUGACUUAUAAUUUCCUAAUGGUGUAGUAGUUAUUAGGGUGGGUCUGUUCGACCUUUAAAAUUUU